Long non-coding RNA from Mauremys mutica (yellowpond turtle), 396 nucleotides. RefSeq lists it as uncharacterized. The transcript has 5 exons. NCBI's taxonomy places the organism in Eukaryota, Metazoa, Chordata, Testudines, Geoemydidae. The record is from RefSeq and is a predicted model, not a curated record.
CUCAGGCUGUUGGUAAGAGGACUGUUCCUUCACUGCCUGCAGGAAUAUGCAAAAGUGACCUCCUCCGCAACCUGGGUGAAGCUGAGCUGAAUUCAAUUGAGAUUUCUCUUUGUAAUUCUCUAGUGUGUAUGUGGUAAGAAGUGAGACACCUUGUGCAGGUUUCAAGGAUUGGAGGUUCUAAAGGGGCAGGCCGAUUACAGAAAUGAAGCAAAUCUUGUGCUCUCAUGCCCCGUUCUUUAGUACAAGUAAUGUCUACAAAUACUACUGGAAAGUGGAUGUUGGUAUCAUUGGAAUGAUAUUAACAGCAGCUUCCUAGACAGAGGCUUAUCAGAAAAGGGGUGUUAAACCAGAUAAGCAGCGGCUUGCUGAAAGUGACCCCAACCCCCCCGCACCGCC